Molecule: long non-coding RNA, 2563 nt
Filed under: Gossypium barbadense (sea-island cotton)
Lineage: Eukaryota; Viridiplantae; Streptophyta; Magnoliopsida; Malvales; Malvaceae
Description: long non-coding RNA (GBAR_LNC002372)
Source: RNAcentral
UUUAUUUUGAAAACAAUUAUCAUUUUGGAAAUGCGCCCUAGGUCUAACUCAUAUUGUUAUCAGAAAAAAUAUAGGGUAUAAAAUAAAAUAAUCCCAGAAAAAUAAUUAAAUAGCCUUAUUACAACCCAAAACCAAAUAAUAAUAUUAAUAAGAUAAAACUUAUAAAGAAAUAAAUCGGCUACUUAUUACAAUUCAAAGAACCAGAAACAGUAGUGUGGCCAUCUCCGAGUCCCUCGCAGCUCCAAACCAUCUAGGCUUAGGGAUUACCUGCACAGUUAGAAAUGGGGUGAGUUUACGAAAACUCAGUGUGUAAUCCCAAUAACAAACAAACAAUGAAAACACAGUGUCAGUACAAUCUGGGCCAAAGCCCUAUUUAGUCUUGGCAUAUACUGGGCUGAAGCCUUUUGUUUAACGAUUACUAGGCUGAAGCCUUUUCAUAAAUCAUAUCACUGGGCCGAAGCCUCAUCAUAAAUCAUAUCACUGGGCCGAAGCCUUAUCAUAAAUCAUAUCACUGGGCCGAAGCCUUUUCAUAAAUCAUAUCAUUGGGCUGAAGCCUUUACUGUAAACGGUAUGGCCCUUAGGCCCAUUUCAAUAUCACAUGUAAUGUCAAUGGAUAUAUGCAAGCCCAUUUGGGGAGACUACUCGACUCACCAUCCGCUACUCUCCACCCGUACCAACCAACACACCAUGUGGGGAAUGAUUCAACCCACCCAACCAACACACCACUGGCAGCAUAGCUGCUUUAUCAUUUAUCUGGAAGCCUAGCCUCUUUUAAUAACUAGGGCAAAACCCUUUUGAUAAGCUGGGGCAAAGCCCUUUUCGGUAAACUGGGGCAAAGCCCUUUUCGAUAAACUGGGGCAUAGCCCUUUUAGCACUUCCUCCAUUUAUAAAACCCAACCUAUGCAACAUGUCAUGUAUGCAGAAUGUCAUGCCCAUAUUUGAAUCAAACAAUCACAGUCAAGUCAUUCAUUUCACCAACAUAUAUUCACAAUCAAAUCCGUCAACCACACAAUCCAAGUCAGUCACUUGCCCACAAGGGCAAAACAGUCAUUUUUCACAUUAUGAGGGUAAUUUCGUAAUUUUACCAAAUAUCAGGGUUUUCCAUGUUCAUCAACAAUUAUCAAUAUUUUCGAGUGUUUAAACAAUGAUCUUUAACCCAUUUUAUCAAACUCGGGCUUUUGGGCCCAAAACCUCUAAUGGGCCCUAUGAAUGCCGAUUUAGCCCAUUAAGCCCACAUAAUCCAAAUUUUACAACAGUACUAACCGUGUUAAAAUGCAAGUUUUCCAGAUUCCAUUUUCUAUCAAAUUUACCCAAAUGGGCCCGAAGCCCAUUGGGCCCAAUUUCAGCCCAUUAAGGCCCAACUUACCAUCGUGCACAAAAUUGAGUUCUUACCUGUUCCAUCGAUCCAAACACUAAUCUUAUCAUAUUUAUCGCAUCUAUACCCAAACGCAACAUUACAAGUUCCCGAAAUACCAGUAUUUGAGCAUUUCGACUUCUCAGCAAAUAUUAAUCUAAGCUAUUACAAGGGUUAGUACACACCUGUUACGGGUUAAAGUUGAAACGUUUCCAAAAUCAAUCGCCUACGAUAACCACCACCUGUCACUCAAACUUAACUAAUCCAAUAUCAAUAUAUGUAAAUCCUAAGCACAUCAGUCAUACGGAACAUAAGGGCAUAUUCGUCAUUUUACCAUACAGGGGUAUUAUGGUCACUUUACCCUACAGGGGCUUUAUAGUCUUUUUACCUAAUAAGGGUAUUUUAGUCAUUUCACCCUACAAGGGUGUUUUGGUAAAUCUACAAACCAAGGGUAUUUCAGUAAUUUUGUAAACCAAUGGUAUUUCUAUAAUUUUUAGAAAGUCAAGGGUAUUUCUAUAAUUUUGUAAAUUAGGGGUAUUUUGGUAAUUUUACAAAUUAAGGGUAUUUCGGUAAUUUCACAAACUAGUGGUAUUUUGGUAAUUUUACAAACUAGGGGUAUUUUGGUAAUUUUACAAACCAGGGGUAUUUUAGUAAUUUUACAGACUAGGGUAUUUUGGUAAUUUUACUAAUCAAGGGUAUUUUGAUAAUUUUACAAGUCGAGGGUAUUUCAAUAAUUGGUAAACUGAAGUAUUCUAAACAUGGAUAACAAUACUAAUGGCCCUAAAGCCCAUUCUCGACCCAAAUGGGCCCACACGCUCGUGUGGCCCUUUUAUCCCAAAUCUAGCCACAAAUAUUAGAUUCACCUAGCCUAGCCCAAUAUUUACUACACAAUCAAACAACUUAUUCAAUUGGGCCCGUAGGCCCAUUAGGCCCACAUGACACCUUUCGGCCCAUCGCGGCCCAAAGUAGCCAUCCUACAGCUAGAGUAGUAAGAAAUACACACCUGAUAGGUGACUGGAGUUAAUCCACGCUCCGAGCACUCUUAGCCGACGCCCAACCCAAACGAGCACGCCAUACAACGAAAGGGAUCAGCCAAGAAAGGUACCUCUACUCUCCUCAUGGUUCUCUCUAUUUAAAGCCAGCUUCGCAUCCCCUCUUAUGUUAGCUUCCCGAUGUGGGAUCCUUCCAACAUCAGAGUUUAAAUUCAAC